GGGCCCGUGGCGCAGUAUGGACAGCGCGGCAGCCUCCUAAGCUGUAGGUCGUGAGUUCAAAUCUCACCGGGCCCGCCA
This 78-nucleotide transfer RNA is filed under the name Nitrososphaerota archaeon. RNAcentral's name for it is "Thaumarchaeota archaeon tRNA-Arg". It matches the Rfam family "tRNA". Rfam says of the family: Transfer RNA (tRNA) molecules are approximately 80 nucleotides in length. Lineage: Archaea; Thermoproteati; Nitrososphaerota. The record is from RNAcentral.